GAUGAACGCUGGCGGCGUGCCUAACACAUGCAAGUCGAACGGAGUCCAGCCUUUAAGACCUUCGGGUCAAAGAGGGGAAGACUGAGUGGCGGACGGGUGAGUAACACGUGGGCAACCUGGCUCAUAGAGGGGGAUAACAGAGAGAAAUUUCUGCUAAUACCGCAUAAGCACACACUGCCGCAUGACAGAGGGUGAAAAGAGAAUCGCUAUGAGAUGGACCCGCGUCUGAUUAGCCAGUUGGCAGGGUAAGAGCCUACCAAAGCGACGAUCAGUAGCCGAUCUGAGAGGAUGAACGGCCACAUUGGGACUGAGACACGGCCCAAACUCCUACGGGAGGCAGCAGUGGGGGAUAUUGCACAAUGGGGGGAACCCUGAUGCAGCGACGCCGCGUGAGUGAAGAAGUAUUUCGGUAUGUAAAGCUCUAUCAGCAGGGAAGAUAAUGACAGUACCUGAAUAAGAAGCCCCGGCUAACUACGUG
Molecule: ribosomal RNA, 478 nt
Filed under: uncultured bacterium
Lineage: Bacteria
Description: partial 16S ribosomal RNA
Rfam family: Bacterial small subunit ribosomal RNA
Source: RNAcentral